GCAGCGCCAUGAAGGCACAUCACCAGCGACCAGGAGGCGCAGAGUGAGUGCAGAGAAGUUUUCCUCCUCUCCGCCCCGAGUGUGCGAUGCCAUCCGAGACUCACCUGAGCAGGAUAACACACCCGGUCCAGCUGUUGGUGGCGUGUUGGAACAUGCCUUGACUUGUUGCACUGCCUGGGUGAAGCACAGGGGCCACAGUCCCAGGAAGAGAGGGAAGCGGCUCCUGGUCAACAGUGUGCCAGGGUGGAGUGACCCACACCGAGACCUGCUGCACCUGUGGACAGAGCGUGGAUGGAGGAGCUGCUUAGAGCUUCAAGCUGUUGGCGUAAGACCCCGUGCCCCCCCCCCCCCCCCCCCGGGCGUUCAGCGUGAGGCCUUAGCCUUCCAACAACCACCAGGAAGCCGGGCACGGGAAGUGUGAGCAUCCGCAGUGCCAGACUUACGGGUGGAGACGAUGUUGCCAUGCGAACGGAGGAGACCUAAUGAGUGCCGAUGAGGCAGAAUGGCCCACUUGCCAGGUGCACUGUAAUUAAGGGUAAACAAUGAAU
This is a long non-coding RNA of Gasterosteus aculeatus aculeatus (three-spined stickleback), 548 nucleotides long. The record is from Ensembl. NCBI's taxonomy places the organism in Eukaryota, Metazoa, Chordata, Actinopteri, Perciformes, Gasterosteidae.